GCCCGGAGAUGGUACUGAGACACGGACCCAGGCCCUAUGGGGCGCAGCAGGCGAGAAACCUUUGCAAUGUGCGAAAGCACGACAAGGUUAAUCCGAGUGUCUCCUGCUAAAGGAGUCUUUUGUCAGUUGUAGAAUCACUGGUGAAUAAGGGGUGGGCAAGUUCUGGUGUCAGCCGCCGCGGUAAAACCAGCACCUCGAGUGGUCAGGAGGUUUAUUGGGCCUAAAGCAUCCGUAGCCGGUUGCAUAAGUUUUCGGUUAAAUCUAUGCGCUUAACGUAUAGGCCGCCGAAAAUACUGUGCAGCUAGGGAGUGGGAGAGGUACACGGUACUCGAUAGGAAGGGGUAAAAUCCUUUGAUCUAUUGAAGACCACCUGUGGCGAAGGCGGUGUACCAGAACACGUUCGACGGUGAGGGAUGAAAGCUGGGGGAGCAAACCGGAUUAGAUACCCGGGUAGUCCCAGCUGUAAACGAUGCAGACUCGGUGAUGCAUUGGCUUGUGGCCAAUGCAGUGCCGCAGGGAAGCCGUUAAGUCUGCCGCCUGGGAAGUACGUACGCAAGUAUGAAACUUAAAGGAAUUGGCGGGGGAGCACCACAAGGGGUGAAGCCUGCGGUUCAAUUGGAGUCAACGCCAA
RNAcentral lists this ribosomal RNA (631 nucleotides) under uncultured archaeon. RNAcentral's name for it is "bacterial SSU rRNA". It matches the Rfam family "Archaeal small subunit ribosomal RNA", at positions 288 to 921 of the family's 1478-position model. The record is from RNAcentral.